GGAGGUGGGUUGGUGUUGGUGUGAAGGUGGGUUUAGAUUUUAUUGUAUGUGGAUGUUUUUGAGGUGGAGAGGCGUAGAAGGGCUGUGUGGUUGUGUGGAGUGGGUGUAUUUGGUUGGGUUAUUUGGUUGUACUUGUAUGGGUGUUUGUGAGGUAUUUGUUGGUGUUGAGUAUGUGUGUUGUUUCGAUUUGUUGAGGUGUGGAGUGAGGGGUGUUGAAAGCGGGACGGCACGAUGAUUUUUUUGUAGAGAGGGUGAGGUGGGGCCGUGUGUUGUGGGGUGUGUGGAGAGGAAAAUAUAUGUGGUGUGAUUGUGUGGCGGAUAAGGGUUAAUGGUUGAUGUAAAUAGGGUGUGUGGUGGGGUGUGGUUGGUAUUGGUCGGAGUGGAGUAGAGCGGAGGAUGGUGGUUAGUUGAUAAGAAUGAUAGGCUAUAUGGUUGUAUUAUGAAUUGUUGUUUGUAUUGGAUGUGGUGGGUGAGUGAAAAUUGUUAAUGUGUGUAGUGUGUUUUAGAUAGUUUGUUUGAUAGUCUGAGAAGAGGUUGAGGGUGGUUGGGUUAGGGAUGGGUUGGAGGUGAGUGUGUGUUGAGUGAUGAUAGUAGGUGUGAGGUGAGGUAAUUAGAGUAUGAGUUCUAUUAAGGAGUGGAUGAAUUGUGAAUGAAUGAAUGUAUGAUAAUAUUUGUUUAUUGUAUUAUUUAUUGAUGAUUGAUGAUCUGAUGUAUUGAGAUAUUUGAUAGAUCCAUUAUCGAAGAGAUAAAGGUUAGAGUGAAGACAUUGUAUAUAUUGUUUUAGGUGUGGUAUGUUGUGAUUAGAUAAAAAUAAGUAUAGAGAAGAAUAAUUUAGGAUGAAAUAAAUGAAUAUUGUAGGAAUGCAGAGAGGAUACAAGUAUGAUGAAUUGUGUGCGGGAUGAGAUAUGUUUGUUUGAGAAGAUAUUAUGAAAUAUGAAUUGAGGUGUUAUUUAUUUGUGUUCAUAAUUUGUAUUUUUGGUAUGGUUCUGUAGUAGUAGUGAAUAUGUGUGCGGUUGAACUAAGGCCACUUUGAUUUUAUUUCGUUUUAGUUGUUUUUUUUAUAGGUGUGUGUGAAAUUAGUAUUCUUUAUUUUUCUGAUAACGUAAUAAUUUAUUUUUUUUUUAUUAUGAUGAUGGUUUAUUCUGUGUGUGUUAUAUCUUAAUGAGUUUAAUUUUUGUUGUAAUUUAUCUAGCAUUGAGGUGGAUUCUAUUUUUAAUUGAUAUUAUAUUGUUAUAUGUGUAUGUGAUAGGUUGUGGUGAUGGGAGUGUGUAGGA
Molecule: ribosomal RNA, 1274 nt
Filed under: uncultured bacterium
Lineage: Bacteria
Description: partial 16S ribosomal RNA
Source: RNAcentral